AACGCGAAGAACCUUACCUGGGCUUGAACUACUGGUAGUAAGCUUUUGGAAACAUUAGCUGAUCCGCAAGGAAGCCAGCAGAGGUGCUGCAUGGUUGUCGUCAGCUCGUGUCGUGAGAUGUUGGGUUAAGUCCCGCAACGAGCGCAACCCCUAUCUCAUGUUGCUAAUCCCGCAAGGGAUGCACUUUUGAGAAACUGCCUUCGAUAAGAAGGAGGAAGGUGGGGACGACGUCAAAUCCUCAUGGCCCUUAUGUCCAGGGCUACACACGUGCUACAAUGGCCGGUACAACGGGAAGCAAUACCGCAAGGUGGAGCAAAACCCUGAAAGCCGGCCCCAGUUCAGAUCGUGGGCUGAAACUCGCCCACGUGAAGGCGGAAUCGCUAGUAAUCGCGAAUCAGCAGGUCGCGGUGAAUACGUUCCCGGGCCUUGUACACACCGCUCGUC
This 444-nucleotide ribosomal RNA is filed under the name uncultured bacterium. RNAcentral describes it as "bacterial SSU rRNA". It matches the Rfam family "Bacterial small subunit ribosomal RNA", at positions 958 to 1398 of the family's 1533-position model. The record is from RNAcentral.